RNAcentral lists this long non-coding RNA (2136 nucleotides) under Heterocephalus glaber (naked mole-rat). RNAcentral describes it as "lncRNA (ENSHGLG00100051790.1)". The record is from RNAcentral. Lineage: Eukaryota; Metazoa; Chordata; Mammalia; Rodentia; Bathyergidae.
GUGGGUACCCAGCUGACUGAACUACUCACACCUCCAGAAAUUAGACCCCAGGGCACAGUGCCACCCUCCCAGGCUGGCACAUGCUACCCUGGCAGAGGUUCAAGUAGCCCCCUGCCAUCCUCCUACCCCUAUGUCUUCCUCUACUCUCUUCCCUUCUCUCCCCCCUCUCUUUUCUCAGCCAAAGCACAGCUGAGCCUUGGGCAGGGGGAGCGGAGAGACCAAGCUGGGGUGGGGGGUGGAGCUCCAGCAGCACGUUUUCACCUGCCAUUUAAUUGGAUGUAUUUUUAAUUAAUGGGACCUCAGGGACCAACAUGAGACAAUCUGAGCUCUGAAUAGGGGCAGGGGAGGGAUUGAGGAAGGGAGGAGGAUUGGGCCACUGGGUGCGGUUACCGGGAACCCAGGCCCAUCAAUCACUGGCCACUUUUCGUGCUGGCAUGGAGAACAGUGAGGUGGAGGAGCAGGGGAGGUGCUGGGGAGAGGUGCCAGCAUUUCCUCCAGUGGCCAGGACCUCCCAAAGCAGUUGACUUGGGCCUGGAGCCCGAAAUCACAGCCAGGGUAGUAGGUAAGGUGGUUUCUUGGUGUUUUGUCCAGUCGGCUUAGCCCAAGGAAUGUGGUAAACUUGUGAAAGGAAGUUGGGAACGGAGGUCUGAGGUUCCUGAAGAAAGAGGGACAAGCGCGAGGGGCCAUGGACCCAAAGACUGGUGAGGUGACUGGAGGGCAGAGUUGAGAGCAGAGUGGUUCCUCUGUCCUGACGUGAAGAAAGUGUCCUGGAGGUUAUGUACAAAUGAGUGUGGUGCCUUGGGGUCUGGACCAUGGAACCUCACUGCUGCAAGGAAGCCAACGUGGCGUUCAUCUUGCCCGACCCUUUACUUUACAGAUGUGGAAACCAAGAGCCAGAGAGGGGAAUUUGGUGGAAUCCUGUCCUGCAGUUGCUCUGUGUUCCUGCAUUUGGAAAGUUCCUGGAAAUAGGAAAAGGAGAAGCAUUGGACCACUUCAUACCCCCGGCCCUGGGGAGGAGCAGGAUCUGCCUCUCCGGUCCCAGCCUCACGCUGCCCUUCCCUGAGUCGCCCCGAGUCUGCUUGCUUGCUGUUCGAUCUUCAGCCCACUCCACAGCCCGUGGGGUGAGAAGGCCCUUGUGUCCCCGAGCACAGCUGGAGAGACCCCUCCAAGGACCGCUGCCUUCUUUGAAGCACUGAGGGCUGCUGGUGGAGAACUGGGCCAGGGCUGGAAAGGAAGGUUCUGCCAUCAGGGGUUAUGGGGAAGCCUGCAAGUGGGGAGCAGGCAGAGGUGACAUCCUAACCCUCUGGGCAGGGACAUUCACAGUGAGUGUCACUUGGGGGUUUAUUAGUGGCAGCUGUGUACAAGCUGCUCUUUCUAUCUGGAACCCAGAGCAGUGAAAAAGAACACGCAGUGGAGGCUCUGCCACCCUCACUCACCCUUUGUUACCCGUCUCCCCUCCCUACUGCAGCAUAUUGCAGGGGCUGGAAGGUCCUGACACCCUCACCCCAGAUUCUGGGUGUUUCCCUAAAGAACAGAGCCUCCCUCCCUCUGGCCCUGCCGGCCCUGCCUCACACUCCAAGGUCUCUGCAGCCUGCUGGCUGAGCCUGGAGCUUGCCCUGGAGUCCAGGAGAAACCUAGAGCUGUUUGGGGGAAAGAGGGUGGACGAGCUGCAUGGAAGGCAGAGGAGGCAGCAUCCAGAAUUCCCUGCCUUCUGGAGGAAAGGAAAGGAACGGGUCAAGGUGCCUGGCACUGACUUGGCACAGCUUCUUUUCUGUGGGACCCAGCCUCUCCCUCCCUUUCCUGUGCUUGGGAGAACUGCAGAAACUCGAGCCUGUCCCUCGGAUACCUGGAGGACACAUGCAGGUUCCCAGUGCUGGGAAAGGCAGGAGUGAGGGGGAGGGGAGGUGGCAGUGUGUGGUGCCCAUCAGCACCCAAGGGGAGGGCCGAGGAGGAAGCCCGAGGACAUGCCUGCCCAAAACAGCCGCCGUACCCCACCCUCUCCUGCUCCCCCUUCAUGCCAGUGAGCUGUGCCCAAGUACCAGUUCUCCUGGCUGGCAAUCCCGUUCUGUGUGCAGGCAGCCGGCUCCCUCUCCCAGAACAGCAUAGGCUGGGAUCUCUCACACUCCUCACUCUGGC